ACAUACAUGUUAUUAAAACUUGAACUAAUGCAUUGUGAGUCUUAUAAAUUGCUUACAUACCUCACCGAUUUCCCACUGUCUGGAAAACGCUCGGUUUAGUUCCUGUCUCCGCCUCCCAAAAUGUCUAGUGUAAUCGGAUUGGUCAGAUGACUACUCAACUGUUAUUGGUCAACUGGGUUCGGCGUGUGUUUGAAAGGUUACGCCCCUGACUACGCGUGGGUUGACACAGAUUCUGACUGAGAGUCACAGCCUCAGAGGCAUCGUAAACAAGCGUUAUAUUUCUCUAUAAACGAUGGUGUCUGUACUGCCUUACCACUUCGAGCUCGAUCCAGAGAGUUCAGAAGGCCGUUACGAUAUAAACGAUCUCCGUCAAUGAAUGCGAUUGGAUUUAACUUUUUUAGGUGUCCUUAGCUCUGCCAGAAUGCUAAACGAAGACGAAAAUGUGUUGCAAAGACAUCCAAAAGGUUUUAAGGAGAAUGCAACAGGUUCCAGGGCCUCUUACCUGCGUGAUUCAUCAUCCAGGUUUUGCACAAAUUGUCUAAAUCCCUACACACAGAACAUUUAUUGUACCGACUAUAAGCCUUUGAGGCGCAGGACUAGAAUACGCUUGGAGCUUCCUGAUCGGAAUGUUGGCUUCCGACGACCCCUGCACUGAAGAUGGCAUGCAAUCACGUCCUCCUUUGAAGGUCUCUCAAACUGUGAUGCCAGGUCCAUUGGAAUCGGGGUUUCCUUCAGCUUAUC
Molecule: long non-coding RNA, 741 nt
Organism: Paramisgurnus dabryanus
Lineage: Eukaryota; Metazoa; Chordata; Actinopteri; Cypriniformes; Cobitidae
Source: RefSeq, a predicted model, not a curated record